UACAGGGGGGGCAAGCGUUGUUCGGAAUUACUGGGCGUAAAGGGCUCGUAGGCGGCCAACUAAGUCACACGUGAAAUCCCUGGGCUCAACCCAGGAACUGCGUCCGAGACUGGCAGGCUCGAAUCCGGGAGAGGGAUGUGGAAUUCCAGGUGUAGCGGUGAAAUGCGUAGAUAUCUGGAGGAACACCGGUGGCGAAGGCGGCAUCCUGGACCGGUAUUGACGCUGAGGCGCGAAAGCCAGGGGAGCAAACGGG
Molecule: ribosomal RNA, 253 nt
Filed under: uncultured bacterium
Lineage: Bacteria
Description: partial 16S ribosomal RNA
Rfam family: Bacterial small subunit ribosomal RNA
Source: RNAcentral